CUGUGGAAGCUCAAAAUACCUCUAAGAGUGAAGAUUUUUCUCUGGUUUCUUAAUAGAGGGGUCAUAUUAACUAGGGAUAACUUGGCACGGCGCAACUGGUAAGGAAGCAAAAAAUGUGUCUUCUGUCAGCACGACGAGUCUAUUAAACAUUUAUUUUUUGAGUGCAAGUUUGCUCGGUCUAUGUGGCCUGUUGUUCAAAUAGCUUCAAAUCUUUACCCACCACGUAGUGCACGGAAUAUAUUCGGCAAUUGGUUGAGGGGUAUUCAAAAACAAUUUUCUGCACACAUUUAG
This 291-nucleotide ribosomal RNA is filed under the name Triticum aestivum (bread wheat). Its description in RNAcentral is "partial small subunit ribosomal RNA". The record is from RNAcentral. Lineage: Eukaryota; Viridiplantae; Streptophyta; Magnoliopsida; Poales; Poaceae.